Molecule: ribosomal RNA, 1238 nt
Filed under: metagenome
Description: bacterial SSU rRNA
Rfam family: Bacterial small subunit ribosomal RNA
Source: RNAcentral
CUACCAAGGCGAUGAUGGGUAGCUGGUUUGAGAGGAUGACCAGCCACAUUGGGACUGAGAUACGGCCCAGACUCCUACGGGAGGCAGCAGUGGGGAAUCUUGGACAAUGGACGAAAGUCUGAUCCAGCGACACCGCGUGGGGGAUGAAGGCUUUCGGGUCGUAAACUCCUUUUCUGGGGGAAGAAUAAGGGCGAGAGGAAAUGCUCGUCCGAUGACGGUACUCCAGGAAUAAGCAUCGGCUAACUUCGUGCCAGCAGCCGCGGUAAGACGAAGGAUGCGAGCGUUAUCCGGAAUUACUGGGCGUAAAGGGCGUCUAGGCGGUCAAGUAAGUCACCUGUGAAAGCCCUCGGCUUAACCGAGGAAGGUCGGGUGAUACUGCUUGGCUUGGGUGUAGGAGAGGAGAGCGGAACUCACAGAGUAGCGGUGGAAUGCGUAGAUACUGUGAGGUACCCCGAUGGCGAAGGCAGCUCUCUGGCCUACUACCGACGCUGAAGCGCGAAAGCGUGGGGAGCAAAGGGGAUUAGAUACCCCGUAGUCCACGCCGCAAACGAUGUUCACUUGGUGUCGGUCGCAUAUACAGAUCGGUGCCGGAGCUAACGCGUUAAGUGAACCGCCUGGGGAGUACGGCCGCAAGGCUAAAACUCAAGAGAAUUGACGGGUCCCCGCACAAGCGGUGGAGCACGUGGUUUAAUUCGACGAUAAGCGAAGAACCUCACCUGGGCUUGACAUACUAGUGGUAGGAACCUGAAAGGGGGACGACCCUGCCUUCGGGUAGGGAGCUAGUACAGGUGAUGCAUGGCUGUCGUCAGCUCGUGUCGUGGGAUGUAGGGUUAAGUCCCGAAACGAGCGCAACCCUUGUCGUUAGUUGCCAGCGGGUAAUGCCGGGGACUCUAACGAGACUGCUGGUGAAUAGCCGGAGGAAGGCGGGGAUGACGUCAAGUCAUCAUGUCCCUUAUGCCCAGGGCGACACACAUGCUACAAUGGGAGGUACAGAGGGUCGCAAUACGGUAACGUGGAGCCAAUCUCAAAAAACCUCCCCCAGUUCGGAUUGUGGUCUGCAACUCGACCACAUGAAGCCGGAAUCGCUAGUAAUCGCGGGUCAGCCAUACCGCGGUGAAUAUGUACUCGGGGAUUGUACACACCGCCCGUCACACCAACCGAGUGGGGGGUACCUGAAGUCGCCUUUUUGAGGGCGCCUAAGGUAACCUUCGCAAGAGGGGUGAAGUCGUAACAAGGUA